This 167-nucleotide non-coding RNA is filed under the name uncultured Lachnoclostridium sp. RNAcentral describes it as "Lysine riboswitch". It matches the Rfam family "Lysine riboswitch aptamer". Rfam says of the family: Riboswitches are metabolite binding domains within certain messenger RNAs that serve as precision sensors for their corresponding targets. Lineage: Bacteria; Bacillati; Bacillota; Clostridia; Lachnospirales; Lachnospiraceae. The record is from RNAcentral.
UUGAUAGAGGCGCGAAAAUUAAGAGUACUGCUUAUAAAAAAUCAGGAAUAAAAGCAGAAAAGGAAUUUUCGCCGAAGUGGUUUAAUGAAUCCUGAAUGGUUAAACUGCUGGGCUGAUGCAGAAUAUGUAUCAGACUGUCACAUGAACAUGAAUGUGGAGUGCUAUCA